This 231-nucleotide ribosomal RNA is filed under the name uncultured bacterium. Its description in RNAcentral is "partial 16S ribosomal RNA". It matches the Rfam family "Bacterial small subunit ribosomal RNA", at positions 57 to 305 of the family's 1533-position model. The record is from RNAcentral.
GCAAGUCGAACGAUGAGGUUCUUUCGGGAAUACAUCAGUGGCGGACGGGUGAGUAACGCGUUGGUAUCUACCUUAAAGAGGGGGAUAACGUCUGGAAACGGGCGCUAAUACCGCAUAAGUCUACGGAUAAAAGGCGAGAGUCGCUUUAAGAGGAGCCUGCGUAAGAUUAGCUAGUUGGUGGGGUAAGAGCUUACCAAGGCAACGAUCUUUAGUUGGUCUGAGAGGAUGGCC